GUCUAUGGUGGCUGUGCGUGGGAGAUCCUUCCGGGGUCUGCCGGUUUCCUAUUUGACCGGUUCGCCAACCUGCGCGCAGCCGCCCCCCCU
Molecule: non-coding RNA, 90 nt
Filed under: Ectothiorhodospira magna
Lineage: Bacteria; Pseudomonadati; Pseudomonadota; Gammaproteobacteria; Chromatiales; Ectothiorhodospiraceae
Source: RNAcentral